GAGGUAAAGGCUCACCAAGGCAGUGAUACGUAGCCGACCUGAGAGGGUAAUCGGCCCACAUUGGGACUGAGACACGGCCCAGACUCCCUACGGGAGGCAGCAGUAGGGAAUCUUCCAACAAUGGACGCAAGUCUGAUGGAGCAACGCCGCGUGAGUGAAGAAGGGUUUCGGGCUCGUAAAGCUCUGUUGUUAAAGAAGAACGUGGGUAAGAGUAACUGUUUACCCAGUGACGGUAUUUAACCAGAAAGCCACGGCUAACUACGUGCCAGCAGCCGCGGUAAUACGUAGGUGGCAAGCGUUAUCCGGAUUUAUUGGGCGUAAAGCGAGCGCAGGCGGUCUUUUAAGUCUAAUGUGAAAGCCUUCGGCUCAACCGAAGAAGUGCAUUGGAAACUGGGAGACUUGAGUGCAGAAGAGGACAGUGGAAACUCCAUGUGUAGCGGUGAAAUGCGUAGAUAUAUGGAAGAACACCAGUGGCGAAGGCGGCUGUCUGGUCUGCAACGACGCUGAGGGCUCGAAAGCAUGGGUAGCGAACAGGAUUAGGAUACCCUGGUAGUCCAUGCCGUAAACGAUGAUUACUAAGUGUUGGAGGGUUUCCGCCCUUCAGUGCUGCAGCUAACGCAUUAAGUAAUCCGCCUGGGGAGUACGACCGCAA
Molecule: ribosomal RNA, 652 nt
Filed under: Pediococcus sp. LQC 1957
Lineage: Bacteria; Bacillati; Bacillota; Bacilli; Lactobacillales; Lactobacillaceae
Description: bacterial SSU rRNA
Rfam family: Bacterial small subunit ribosomal RNA
Source: RNAcentral